CACGUAGGCGGAUAUUUAAGUCAGGGGUAAAAUCCCAGAGCUCAACUCUGGAACUGCCUUUGAUACUGGGUAUCUUGAGUAUGGAAGAGGUAAGUGGAAUUCCGAGUGUAGAGGUGAAAUUCGUAGAUAUUCGGAGGAACACCAGUGGCGAAGGCGGCUUACUGGUCCAUUACUGACGCUGAGGUGCGAAAGCGUGGGGAGCAAACA
Molecule: ribosomal RNA, 207 nt
Filed under: uncultured bacterium
Lineage: Bacteria
Description: partial 16S ribosomal RNA
Rfam family: Bacterial small subunit ribosomal RNA
Source: RNAcentral